This is a long non-coding RNA of Homo sapiens (human), 505 nucleotides long. RefSeq lists it as uncharacterized. The transcript is spliced from 4 exons. Lineage: Eukaryota; Metazoa; Chordata; Mammalia; Primates; Hominidae. The record is from RefSeq and is a predicted model, not a curated record.
AAAAGGUCCUAUAAAGAAGAUUUUGUUUCUUCAACAGAAAUGAGAACCGUAGCUCCAUGGCCGGAGAAUAAAGGAAAGGCGUUUUCAGCCAUGCCAGUGUGCACUGUAAAUAAGAAUGUGGCUGGAUGGCUGUUUCCAUGAGGCUGGGAAAGAUGACUACAAGUAGUUCCGGUUUGCCAGCAGUUACAGCCACUCAUUCCGGGAACAGUGCUUCUUCGUGUGUGGAAGGGGAGAAACCACAUCGCCGAUGGCAAUGCCACUUCCGGUGUUGGAGGUAUCACACAGCACACCUGCAUAUGGCUUCAUCUGUGGCUGUCACACUCACGGGUCUCACUCUGUCACCCAGGCUGGAGUGGAGAGGCACUAUCAUAACUCACAGAAGCCUCGAACUCCUGAGCUCAAGCAGUACUCUGGCCUCAGCUUCCCAAGUAGCUGGGACUACCGGCGCAUGCCACCAUACUCAGGUAAUUAAGGGCAUUAACACUUAAUUCUCUCCCAAUAACUU